CCUACGGGAGGCAGCAGUGGGGAAUAUUGGGCAAUGGGCGCAAGCCUGACCCAGCAACGCCGCGUGAAGGAAGAAGGCUUUCGGGUUGGAAACUUCUUUUCUGAGGGACGAAGAAAGUGACGGUACCGCAGGACUAAGCAACGGCUAACGACGGGCCAGCAGCCGCGGUAAGACGUAGGUGGCAAGCGUUAACCGGAUUUAUGGUGUGUAAAGGGCGUGUGGGCGGGACAGCAAGUCAGAUGUGAAAACUCAGGUCUCAACCCUGAGCCUGCAUUUGAAACUGUUUUUCUUGAGUGCUGUAGAGGCAAUCGGAAUUCCGUGUGUAGCGGUGAAAUGCGUAGAUAUCCGGAGGAACACCAGUGGCGAAGGCGGCUUGCUGGACCGUACCUGACGCUGAGGCGCGAAAGCGUGGGGAGCAAACAGGAUUAGAUACCCCAGUAGUC
This 443-nucleotide ribosomal RNA is filed under the name uncultured bacterium. Its description in RNAcentral is "partial 16S ribosomal RNA". It matches the Rfam family "Bacterial small subunit ribosomal RNA", at positions 338 to 795 of the family's 1533-position model. The record is from RNAcentral.